RNAcentral lists this ribosomal RNA (1418 nucleotides) under uncultured Bacilli bacterium. RNAcentral describes it as "bacterial SSU rRNA". It matches the Rfam family "Bacterial small subunit ribosomal RNA", at positions 9 to 1383 of the family's 1533-position model. The record is from RNAcentral. Lineage: Bacteria; Bacillati; Bacillota; Bacilli.
GAGUUUGAUGCCUGGCUCAGGACGAACGCUGGCGGCGUGCCUAAUACAUGCAAGUCGAACGAGCUCUCCUAAAUUGAUUUUAUGCUUGCAUAAAUGAUUUUUAGAUUCGGAGCGAGUGGCGAACUGGUGAGUAACACGUGGGUAACCUGCCCCGAAGCGGGGGAUAACAUUUGGAAACAAAUGCUAAUACCGCAUAAUUAGUUGGAACCGCAUGGUUCCAACUUGAAAGAUGGCUCUGCUAUCACUUUGGGAUGGACCCGCGCCGUAUUAGUUAGUUGGUGAGAUAAAAGCCCACCAAGACGAUGAUACGUAGCCGACCUGAGAGGGUAAUCGGCCACAUUGGGACUGAGACACGGCCCAGACUCCUACGGGAGGCAGCAGUAGGGAAUCUUCCACAAUGGACGAAAGUCUGAUGGAGCAACGCCGCGUGAGUGAUGAAGGUUUUCGGAUCGUAAAACUCUGUUGUUAAAGAAGAACAAGUGUUAGAGUAACUGUUAACACUUUGACGGUAUUUAACCAGAAAGCCACGGCUAACUACGUGCCAGCAGCCGCGGUAAUACGUAGGUGGCAAGCGUUGUCCGGAUUUAUUGGGCGUAAAGCGAGCGCAGGCGGUUUUGUAAGUCUGCUGUGAAAGCCCUCAGCUCAACUGAGGAAGUGCAGUGGAAACUACAAAACUUGAGUACAGAAAGAGGAAAGUGGAACUCCAUGUGUAGCGGUGAAAUGCGUAGAUAUAUGGGAAGAACACCAGUGGCGAAGGCGGCUUUCUGGUCUGUUACUGACGCUGAGGCUCGAAAGCAUGGGUAGCGAACAGGAUUAGAUACCCUGGUAGUCCAUGCCGUAAACGAUGAAUACUAGGUGUUGGAGGGUUUCCGCCCUUCAGUGCCGCAGCUAACGCAUUAAGUAUUCCGCCUGGGGAGUACGACCGCAAGGUUGAAACUCAAAGGAAUUGACGGGGGCCCGCACAAGUGGUGGAGCAUGUGGUUUAAUUCGAUGCUACGCGAAGAACCUUACCAGCUCUUGACAUCUUCUGCCAACCCAAGAGAUUGGGCGUUCCCUUCGGGGACAGAAUGACAGGUGGUGCAUGGUUGUCGUCAGCUCGUGUCGUGAGAUGUUGGGUUAAGUCCCGCAACGAGCGCAACCCUUAUUAUUAGUUGCCAGCAUUUAGUUGGGCACUCUAGUGAGACUGCCGGUGAUAAACCGGAGGAAGGUGGGGACGACGUCAAAUCAUCAUGCCCCUUAUGAGCUGGGCUACACACGUGCUACAAUGGAUGGUACAACGAGUCGCGAAACCGCGAGGUCAAGCUAAUCUCUUAAAGCCAUUCUCAGUUCGGAUUGCAGGCUGCAACUCGCCUGCAUGAAGUUGGAAUCACUAGUAAUCGUGGAUCAGCAUGCCACGGUGAAUACGUUCCCGGGCCUUG